This 1337-nucleotide ribosomal RNA is filed under the name metagenome. RNAcentral describes it as "bacterial LSU rRNA". It matches the Rfam family "Bacterial large subunit ribosomal RNA", at positions 1564 to 2910 of the family's 2925-position model. The record is from RNAcentral.
UGAGUACGAGCUGCUACGGCAGCGAAGUGGGUGACGUCAAGCUUCCAAGAAAAGCCCUACACCCGUUAAGGCAUGAUGGCCUGUACCCGAAACCGACACAGGUGGGGUGGUAGAGAAUACCGAGGGGCGCGAGGUAACUCUCUCUAAGGAACUCGGCAAAAUGGCCCCGUAACUUCGGGAGAAGGGGUGCCACCGCAAGGUGGUCGCAGUGAAGAGGCCCAGGCGACUGUUUACCAAAAACACAGGUCUCCGCUAAGUCGCAAGACGAUGUAUGGGGGCUGACGACUGCCCAGUGCCGGAAGGUUAAGGAAGCUGGUCAGCGCAAGCGAAGCUGGCGACUGAAGCCCCGGUGAACGGCGGCCGUAACUAUAACGGUCCUAAGGUAGCGAAAUUCCUUGUCGGGUAAGUUCCGACCCGCACGAAAGGCGUAACGAUCUGGGCGCUGUCUCGGAGAGAGGCUCGGCGAAAUAGAAUUGUCUGUGAAGAUGCGGACUACGUGCACCCGGACAGAAAGACCCUAUGAAGCUUUACUGUAGCUUGGUAUUGUGCCCGGGCUCUGAAUGCGCAGGAUAGGUGGGAGGCUUUGAUCCAUUGCUUGUGGGUGAUGGUGAGCCAACGGUGAGAUACCACUCUUUCAGAGCUAGGGUUCUAACGGUCACUCGUUAUCCGGGGACCGGACAGUAUCAGGUGGGCAGUUUGACUGGGGCGGUCGCCUCCUAAAAGGUAACGGAGGCGCGCAAAGGUUCCCUCAGGCUGGUUGGAAAUCAGCCGAUGAGUGUAAAGGCAGAAGGGAGCUUGACUGUGAGACCUACAAGUCGAACAGGGACGAAAGUCGGCCUUAGUGAUCCGACGGUUCUGAGUGGAAGGGCCGUCGCUCAACGGAUAAAAGUUACUCUAGGAUAACAGGCUGAUCUCCCCCAAGAGUUCACAUCAACGGGGAGGUUUGGCACCUCGAUGUCGGCUCAUCGCAACCUGGGGCUGAAGUCGGUCCCAAGGGUUGGGCUGUUCGCCCAUUAAAGCGGUACGCGAGCUGGGUUCAGAACGUCGUGAGACAGUUCGAUCCAUAUCCGGUGCAUGCGCAGGAAUAUUGAGAGGAUUUCUCCCUAGUACGAGAGGACCGGGAGGAACGCACCUCUGGUGUACCAGUUAUCGUGCCAACGGUAAACGCUGGGUAGCCAUGUGCGGAGUGGAUAACCGCUGAAAGCAUCUAAGUGGGAAGCCCACCUCAAGAUGAGUAUUCCCAUGGCGUUAGCCAGUAAGGUCACGGGCAGAACACCCGUUGAUAGGCUCUACGUGGAAGCCGGGUAACCGGUGAAGCGGAGGAGUACUAAUAGACC